Molecule: non-coding RNA, 800 nt
Organism: Xyrichtys novacula (pearly razorfish)
Lineage: Eukaryota; Metazoa; Chordata; Actinopteri; Labriformes; Labridae
Source: the annotation of a GenBank genome assembly
AGACUGUAUAUACUAUGAACAACUUGGCUCCGCCCCCUCUCAUUAUAUAUUUUUUCUCCACUUCCUGAAACCAACAUUCGGUGGGAGAGUCGCUGUGAUGACGCUCGGCUCAAACAGCGUAUCCCCCGGUGAUCUACUCAAUCUCUGUCCUCCCAUUGGCUGUAUCAGGUGUCAAUCAUCGAAAACAUCAACCCCCUGGACUGUUCCAGUAUGUUUCCAAAAGUCCAAAAUUUUCUGAAACAUUCCGGAAUCUUACUGAUCUUUUAGAAUGUCUUUGAUGUUAUAGAAUGUUAUUGAUCUUUUAGAAUGUCUUUGAUGUUAUAGAAUGUUAUUGAUCUUUUAGAAUGUCUUUGAUGUUACGGAAUGUUCGGUGAUAUUCUAGAAUGUUCUACAUCCUCAGAGCGUCACCACCAUAGACUGUAUUUACUCAUUCAGCGGGAGAGUCACUGUGAUGACGCUUGGCUCAAACAGCGUAUCCCCCGGUGAUCUUCUCAAUCUCUGUCCUCCCAUUGGCUGUAUCAGGUGUCAAUCAUAGAAAACAUGAACCCCCUAAUAACUUUUAAAAAUGGAGCUGUACAGAAAAAAGAGGACUUGAGCACAAACCAGUCUGACAGUAACUACAUGUCAACAUCACAACCAGGGGGGAGAAACAUUUAUAUUCUGUGUUAUUCAUUUAGAAAGUUUGUCCACAGCUCCAUAAGGAGGCGGGGUUUAUGACCUAUACUGCAGCCCGUCACCAGAGGGCGCUGUUCUCACAGAGAGGAGGCAGACGGCGUCUAUUCUAGAUACAGUCUCAGUUU